This 77-nucleotide transfer RNA is filed under the name Nitrososphaerota archaeon. Its description in RNAcentral is "Thaumarchaeota archaeon tRNA-His". It matches the Rfam family "tRNA". Rfam says of the family: Transfer RNA (tRNA) molecules are approximately 80 nucleotides in length. Their secondary structure includes four short double-helical elements and three loops (D, anti-codon, and T loops). Lineage: Archaea; Thermoproteati; Nitrososphaerota. The record is from RNAcentral. RNAcentral also lists the same sequence under 1 other name.
GCCGCUGUGGUGUAGCCUGGCUAGCAUAGGGGCCUGUGGAGCCCUCAGCGUGGGUUCAAAUCCCACCGGCGGCCCCA